This is a non-coding RNA of Podarcis lilfordi (Lilford's wall lizard), 65 nucleotides long. The record is from the annotation of a GenBank genome assembly. Lineage: Eukaryota; Metazoa; Chordata; Lepidosauria; Squamata; Lacertidae.
GAGUUUGGUGGCAGAGCCUCUGCUUUGCAUGCAGAAGCUCCCGGGUUCAAUUCCUGGCAUUAUCA